Pieris rapae (cabbage white) is the source of this 1504-nucleotide long non-coding RNA. RefSeq lists it as uncharacterized. The transcript is spliced from 4 exons. The record is from RefSeq and is a predicted model, not a curated record. Lineage: Eukaryota; Metazoa; Arthropoda; Insecta; Lepidoptera; Pieridae.
CUGGAUUUGUUAUUGUUUAUGGGAAUAAAAAUUAAAAUCUUUAAUCUGCCACUGAUCACUAAUAGAAGAUCCAGAUUCAUUAAUUGUUAUAAUUUUAUACGUGUUAAAUUGUGCAAUCCCUGUAAGCGGAGGUCGGAGGGUGACACAGUUAGAUAUGUUUGAUGGCUCAGAUAGUGGAUCCGGUGCUGAGAAAUCUUACGAACCAGACUAAGAUGCUUCCUUUGAGAUGGCAGUGAAUGUGAAAGGCGGAGGAAUGAAUGCCUUGAGAAUUUAUGUUUGUAAAUAGGUUAUGUCUAUAAACUUCCAGGUAUUCAAAAGUUUUUAGGUCCCAAAUCUGUAAAAGGGGCAAUAAAUGUUGAUUGUUACCGAUAACAAACAGUUACAAUCUAUCUCAUAUCUUAUUGAAACAUAAUACUUGUUAAUGAUUCCAGUUGUAUCAAAUUUAGUUUACUUUCAUAUGAAGUCAGGCUAAUAGCUGGUGUGACCUAAAUUUAUUUUUAUAAACUAGGUUUGUUCACAAACAUGCAAAAGCACUCAUUCACUUGACUGUGUAGAAAGCCAAGCCUCAUUUAAUUGCUUGUGUUGCUCCCGCAAAUUAUCUUUAGUUAUUUUGCUGUGUUGUCCCCCAGUUUGGAAGCUAUUAAAACUAUAUUUUUUAUUUUGUAAAUGUGUGACUAGAUUUUUUAUCUUUUUACUCACCUAUUUUAAAUUAAACACAUACAUGUUUUAAUCAGCUGUUAUUAACAUGGUGUGUGAAUGUCUUUAAAUAAUUUUAUAGAACAUAAAAUUAUUAUGAAUCUGCAAUAUUUUUAAAUUGCUAGCAGACACCAAAAUACAUCUGAUGGUAAUGAAAAUAAAUUCACUUAAGACUAUAAGGAUUCCAACCUAUAAAUACUAAACAUGAGUAGGUUAUUAUAAUUGUGAAAGGAAAAUAUUCUAAAUUCCAGUUAAUCUUGAAUGAUACUUCACUUUACUCCAAGAUCAUUUCUGAAAAAAAAAGUCAAGGAUAUGGAGUACCAGUUAACUGAAGAAGAAGGUGAUUAAUCUCAAGUAUAUUCUGGUCUUUAAGGAGGUUGAAGGUUCGAAGUAUCGGGCAUCUUGAAGCAGAUGCUAAUAGACAGAAUGAAACAUAAGUUUCAGGCUCAAGAACAACCUCACACCAAAAUUUUAAGAAAAUCCUCGCGUGAAAGAGUCCCCUCGAACAGAUGACAAUUUUCCAUCAGGUGUUAAUCUAUUAAGAACUAAUUGAACUAAAAACUUGGAAAAUGAGGAGCUAUAACGCUAAACUCUUAUUGCAAAGGUAACGGAAUGCGAAAAGCUCAGGAUUAACUAACUAGCUGGAAAGAGAAUCCUGUUAGCAAAGAAGAGCCGCACUUCAUUGUAUACAUAUAUAUAUAUAUAUAUAUUAUGUACAUCCCAAUUGAACAUUGACUGUUGACAUAUUUUUCUAUUUCGAUGGCGAUAACUUAACACUGAAUUAAUAAACGUUAUUAAAAAUUUAAAA